RNAcentral lists this small nucleolar RNA (119 nucleotides) under Echinops telfairi (small Madagascar hedgehog). Its description in RNAcentral is "Small nucleolar RNA SNORA61 (ENSETEG00000026351.1)". The record is from RNAcentral. Lineage: Eukaryota; Metazoa; Chordata; Mammalia; Afrosoricida; Tenrecidae.
AUCCUCCAGAUUCCUACCCAUCAAACCUACCCACUGGUCUGACGGGCUAUGAAGGGAGGAAAAGUAAAAUAGAAACUGAUUUAAAUUACUUUGUGAUGCACAGCUAGUUUGAAACAAAU